GAUGACAGUCGCUUCUGGAUUGGCGUGAUGGACAGGUGUGAGUGUCCUGUGGUGUAAAAGCAGCUGAAGGGUGACUGACGUCCGUGACAGUUGUGAGACCUGGAAACAGACAAAGGGGUUUUAUGGAACUUCCUGUUUCAAUGAACUAAUAUAAGAGUUUCAACAGGAAGAGGAGGGCUACUGAAAAAAGGAGAGAAGAGAACAUUGAACUGUCAUUGGAUGAGAAGUAAUCUGUCUUCUUCACUUCCUGCUUGGAUAUUUAACAACAAAAAAGUGCAAUGCCUCAUGGGAAUCUACCAUAGAAGAGCUGAAAUUUUAACACUUAGCUGCCAGGGGAUACUGGGAACUUAGAGUUUAGAGAAAGAGAUCAAUGUUAUCUGAACUACAGAAAAGGAGUCUACAAACAUCCCUUUAAGCUAUUAUUCACAAGGGAUCAAAUUGCGAGCUAAAGCACGACUGACUCGAAAGCACAUGAUGCAGAACAAGUGCAAGUUAGGUGUAAAGUUGUCUCUCUUCAGGCAAUCUUUGCUGAAUAGUGCAAAGUUUCUACUUCAGCACCAAGGAGAGCUGAGAGUUUGCACAGCCAGAGGGAGCGAGCUAAAGAACUGUGAGGACAAAGGCAGACAAGAAAACUCUCAGUGCAAAGCCUGGUUGUCAGUUUGGGCACUUCUCCUCCACAGAAGCACUGACACCAACAAAAAACAAACAGAAGCUAACUAAGCACGCCAAAAGACAACAAUGAAGGCUUCCUCCUGCAUAUGUCAAAUAAAGUGAGUACCCAAACAUCACACAUCCACUCUAGCAACUCAGAGGCAUCAAGCCACCUUCCCUGGCUAGCUAUGGCUCCCCCUAUCCGUCUCUCCAUUUCCUUGUUUUUAGCAUAGCACAAUGUCCUCUCCCUCCCCUCUCUUCAAUAGUGAUCAAACUCCUUAAAACACCUGAAAAACACUCUUCCUAUCAUUGAAUGUGAUCCAUGGUGUCUUUAUGUACCCCAAUCCAUUCCCAGGACCAUUAUUAGCAAGGAACAAAGCACCCCUUACCUCUUGAGAGUUCCUUUCCCUCU
This is a long non-coding RNA of Anguilla anguilla (European eel), 1063 nucleotides long. RefSeq lists it as uncharacterized. Lineage: Eukaryota; Metazoa; Chordata; Actinopteri; Anguilliformes; Anguillidae. The record is from RefSeq and is a predicted model, not a curated record. The transcript is spliced from 4 exons.